GUAUAAUUAGGAAGUUCCAGGUGAGAGGUGAGUCGGCAGGAAAUAGAGAGAAGACAUUGUCGACAUUGGCAGCAGAGGAGGAGGGAAAACGGCAUAGAUCACAUGACCAGUGAGGAUGGAGGAGGACCGGACUCGCAUUACUGAGAAGAUAUUAAACCUCGCCCUGGAGAUCAUCUACCUGCUGACCGGAGAGAGAUUUCCUCUUGUGAAGUCAGGUGAUCAUAUGACCAUC
Long non-coding RNA from Rana temporaria (common frog), 232 nucleotides. RefSeq lists it as uncharacterized. NCBI's taxonomy places the organism in Eukaryota, Metazoa, Chordata, Amphibia, Anura, Ranidae. The record is from RefSeq and is a predicted model, not a curated record. The transcript has 3 exons.